This 31-nucleotide non-coding RNA is filed under the name Mus musculus (house mouse). Lineage: Eukaryota; Metazoa; Chordata; Mammalia; Rodentia; Muridae. The record is from RNAcentral.
UGAACUCAUAGAGAUCUGCCUGUCUUCCUGU